AUGGGACAAUGCUCUAAUAAUGAUCAUCAUCACACUUUUAUUUCUUACAAACACAAUGAUGGCGUGUGUCAUAAUAAAACAAAAUGGUGGAAGUUGCAUGGCAAUAUAUCUCGGAAUGGCUAUGGAAAUGCCAUAAUAGGUAGGUAUGGUGGCUGUUCUGAGGAAGAUGUAAGGUGGCUUAUGUGUGAAAGAGCGUAUCAUAUCUCGGGAUUUGGAUGCACCGGCAAAGUUUGCACCAACUCUCAAGGUGAGAAAGGGCAAUGCACGGUACCGAAGAGGCUAGCAAUGGUGGAAGGGUGA
This 300-nucleotide ribosomal RNA is filed under the name Triticum aestivum (bread wheat). RNAcentral describes it as "partial small subunit ribosomal RNA". The record is from RNAcentral. Lineage: Eukaryota; Viridiplantae; Streptophyta; Magnoliopsida; Poales; Poaceae.